UCUGCAAUCUUAUUCCAAUUUUUCUUUAUAAAGUUCCUAAUGUCUCAGGGAGCAGAAGUGUUGCUUGAUCAGUCCACUUCAUUGUUAUCAAUUUGUUUUUGUUUUUGAAAUACAUCAACACAGCCGGGACAUUAACACAGCCGGAACACUAACACAACCUUUAUUAUGUUCCUGUGUAUGCGCUUCAUUAUCUUCCAACUGCUACUUUAAUAAUGCAUUGAGUUAUCAUCAACGUCGUCAUUGCGUAUGUCUUCAUGGCUUAUGGCUUCGUCUUCAGAAAAUGCCUCUGUCACAUUACACGACUUCCAUAGGAUGCCAAAUGUUUGUAUUGAUCUUCCACUGUUGCUCACAUGUUAUUCAUAUUGUUGCUCACAUGUUUUUCAUAUUGUUGCUCAAAUGUUGUUUACG
RNAcentral lists this long non-coding RNA (408 nucleotides) under Lathyrus oleraceus (garden pea). RNAcentral's name for it is "Pisum sativum (pea) long non-coding RNA (PSAT_LNC016032)". The record is from RNAcentral. Lineage: Eukaryota; Viridiplantae; Streptophyta; Magnoliopsida; Fabales; Fabaceae.